Long non-coding RNA from Cynoglossus semilaevis (tongue sole), 1008 nucleotides. RefSeq lists it as uncharacterized. The transcript is spliced from 2 exons. Lineage: Eukaryota; Metazoa; Chordata; Actinopteri; Pleuronectiformes; Cynoglossidae. The record is from RefSeq and is a predicted model, not a curated record.
UAUAAGAAAUGUUAAGAUUUUCUUUUUAAAUGUCCAGUGAUUUCACGCUGAGAAGUUUUUAUUUGAAAAUAAAAAAAAAUAAAUUGUCAUUAUUUUCAAAUUCCAAACACCAGCACAGGGUCCAGAGACAAAAGAACUUUUUUUUUCAGGUGUAUUCACAUUUGAAGUGCAGCUGUCAGUGGUUUAAAGUAGAGAUGAACAAAGAGUGGAGGUUCGAUUCCCUGACCUUCAGUCAGUCCUCACCGUUUGGAUGUUUCUGUUCUGACCUCGUCCUGACCUUUGUCUCCUGUUGGGUCAUUUGUUUUAUCACUGUACUGUUGACUUCAUCUCUCCUCUUCCUCCUCCUCCGACUUCCCACCAUCGCCUGCAUUUUGCUCCUUACUGCGUUUGUCUCACCUUUCCUCCCCCCCCCCGUGUGGUUGGCGUCCGUCCCUCCUUGUCUCCUCAGAUCUGUAUAAGGGUCUCCAGUCAGGUUCUCAGGUUCCUCUGCCUCCUCACUUGCAGCUGGCUUUCUCAGAUGUCAGUCAAAGCCAAGGAGGAGACUCUAAGAGGAAGACUCUAUGAUGCUGCAGGACCAGGACCAGGACCAGGACCCCUGGGACAGACCGCUGAGGCAGCGGCCCGUGUCAAACUGGGCCACACUUGGUUUCAGUUAAAUGUAACAUUUUUAAAGUUGAAAUACUUUUUCUCAUAGAAUUGAUGAAUUAAGUGACAAAUUUGUCAACGUUUACAAAAUCGACCUAUAUCACUGUGGACAGGACGGAGCGGCUGGGUUUUUUAAAGUGUGUGUGUGUGUCUUUGUACGUCCCCCUCUCUGAUGCAUGGUCAGUGUCUCUACUGGUGCUGUUUUUAUCUUGUAAUUCUCACUGAUAACCUGUAAGAAACAUCAGCUGUUCAUUGAAGUUCAUUUUUUACCUGAUGAACAGUUUUUCAUCGUACUUGAAUUCUGAACUGAAUUCUUUUCUGUAUAAAACUCGAUCUGACUUCAUUAAAUUUGAUGCUUUCGCA